This is a long non-coding RNA of Seriola aureovittata, 572 nucleotides long. RefSeq lists it as uncharacterized. The transcript has 3 exons. The record is from RefSeq and is a predicted model, not a curated record. NCBI's taxonomy places the organism in Eukaryota, Metazoa, Chordata, Actinopteri, Carangiformes, Carangidae.
GUCUGGUUUAAAUUUACCAAGAUGGAGAAUCCCACGAGCGGCUAAAGGGCUGCAGUUGGACUCGGAACUGGCUUUUCUUCUCCACGUAUUCAUGGAUUGAUGUUCCAGUGAAAACCAAGCAGUCGUGAUGGGAUUCCUGAUAGGCUACCUGAGGGGAGAAGUCUGUCUUCAUCGAUGGAACCAACAUCUCGCAGUUCAGCCAAUCGCAUUAGCAGGCUCCACCACACUGGGAAUUCUAAACAUGCGAGGUACGUGACAGAGAGCAGUAACACAGUGAAUCAUAAGGCGCAGGAUGUCGAGGAUAUAUUUAUGAGCGGGAAAAAUUGCAAUAUUAUAAUAUAUUCCUCUUUUGUGCGCUGGUUCCAUUCUGUGUAUCAUCUAAUUUAGAGGCCUUUGAAAUUUUUUAAACCUCACUUAAUUUACAACAGUCUCUGUUUUGAUUUGCCUGCAUAUAAAUAUUUUUGGGGUAAACUUUGCCUGCUGCGUGGACUUUGAUCACUUAUUUCUCUGUUGAAGAGCUAAAAUAUCUCUGAAUCAUUAUUUUUACAACAGCAUUUGGUUUCAAUAGCAAC